RNAcentral lists this long non-coding RNA (389 nucleotides) under Solanum pimpinellifolium. RNAcentral describes it as "long non-coding RNA (SPIM_LNC000153)". Lineage: Eukaryota; Viridiplantae; Streptophyta; Magnoliopsida; Solanales; Solanaceae. The record is from RNAcentral.
UCCUAUACACGUAUCAUAAAUCUUUACUGAAUGUGACAUUGGGUCUAUACGUUUUUUAAUGUUCUAAAUUUUUGAUCUACUAAACUUGGAAACAAAUUAUAUAUUUAUAUACCAGAUGAAUCAAUGAGUUAUCAUAAUUUUCUAAUCAACCCCUUUCUGGAUUGGUUUAUGAGAUAUGAGAGAAGCCAAAAUACUUUGAUUUCUUAUAUUUUGCAAACAAGAUCAUACUUUACGUAUUAAACAUGCUAAUUAAAAUCGAUUUCUCAAUAUUAGAAUGUAAAUGAUUACUAUUAAUUAUUUAACAAAUUUAAUUGGUUGAUACGAGUUGAUUUUCUAUUACGGUAAAUUGAUGAAACAAUAGCCAGUCCAAUGGCUGCUUCAGCGGCUGC